CUUCAGAUGAGAUCCCAAGCCUUCUGGCGGUCUAUGAAAGGGCUUUUUAGCUUUUAGGAAGAUUUUUUCCGUGAUAUAAGAUUAUGCUGGGGAAGGUUUUCCGGUUUAUCUCGGAGGGCUUGUAGCUCAGUUGGUUAGAGCGCGCGCUUGAUAAGCGUGAGGUCGGAGGUUCAAGUCCUCCCAGGCCCACCAUUUAUAAGUGCUGAUAGGGUGCUUUUUGUGCGAUAGCACGAGAAUUUACAUUUAUCGAUUGCGCUGAAGCGAUUGAGCCUCGAUAUGAAAUUAUUUUUUCAUUUAUCUUAAUAAAGGGG
RNAcentral lists this unclassified non-coding RNA (311 nucleotides) under Bartonella sp. KP283b. Its description in RNAcentral is "partial 16S-23S ribosomal RNA intergenic spacer". The stretch from base 116 to 189 matches the Rfam family "tRNA". The record is from RNAcentral. Lineage: Bacteria; Pseudomonadati; Pseudomonadota; Alphaproteobacteria; Hyphomicrobiales; Bartonellaceae.